GAUGAACGCUGGCGGCGUGCCUAAUACAUGCAAGUCGAGCGAACGGACGAGAAGCUUGCUUCUCUGAUGUUAGCGGCGGACGGGUGAGUAACACGUGGAUAACCUACCUAUAAGACUGGGAUAACUUCGGGAAACCGGAGCUAAUACCGGAUGAUAUUUUGAACCGCAUGGUUCAAAAGUGAAAGACGGUCUUGCUGUCACUUAUAGAUGGAUCCGCGCUGCAUUAGCUAGUUGGUAAGGUAACGGCUUACCAAGGCAACGAUGCAUAGCCGACCUGAGAGGGUGAUCGGCCACACUGGAACUGAGACACGGUCCAGACUCCUACGGGAGGCAGCAGUAGGGAAUCUUCCGCAAGGGGCGAAAGCCUGACGGAGCAACGCCGCGUGAGUGAUGAAGGUCUUCGGAUCGUAAAACUCUGUUAUUAGGGAAGAACAUAUGUGUAAGUAACUGUGCACAUCUUGACGGUACCUAAUCAGAAAGCCACGGCUAACUACGUG
Molecule: ribosomal RNA, 497 nt
Filed under: uncultured bacterium
Lineage: Bacteria
Description: partial 16S ribosomal RNA
Rfam family: Bacterial small subunit ribosomal RNA
Source: RNAcentral